CCUACGGGUGGCAGCAGUGGGGAAUAUUGGGCAAUGGUCGCAAGCCUGACCCAGCAACGCCGCGUGAAGGAAGAAGGCUUUCGGGUUGUAAACUUCUUUUCUCAGGGACGAUGAAAGUGACAGUACCUGAGGAAUAAGCCACGGAUAACUACGUGCCAGCAGCCGCGGUAAUACGUAGGAGGCAAGCGUUAUCCGGCUUUACUGGGUGUAAAGGGCGUGUAGGCGGGACUGCAAGUCAGAUGUGAAAACCAAGGGCUCAACCUGUGGCCUGCAUUUGAAACUGUAGGUCUGGAGUACUGGAGAGGCAGACGGAAUUCCUAGUGUAGCGGUGAAAUGCGUAGAUAUUAGGAGGAACACCAGUGGCGAAGGCGGUCUGCUGGACAGCAACUGACGCUGAGGCGCGAAAGCGUGGGGAGCAAACAGGAUUAGAUACCCCAGUAGUC
Molecule: ribosomal RNA, 443 nt
Filed under: uncultured bacterium
Lineage: Bacteria
Description: partial 16S ribosomal RNA
Rfam family: Bacterial small subunit ribosomal RNA
Source: RNAcentral